This 498-nucleotide ribosomal RNA is filed under the name uncultured bacterium. Its description in RNAcentral is "partial 16S ribosomal RNA". It matches the Rfam family "Bacterial small subunit ribosomal RNA", at positions 30 to 523 of the family's 1533-position model. The record is from RNAcentral.
AUUGAACGCUGGCGGCAUGCCUAACACAUGCAAGUCGAACGCUACUUGAGGGGCAACUCUUAAGUGGAGUGGCGGACGGGUGAGUAAUACGUAGGAAUCUGCCUUAGAGUGGGGGAUAACCUGUCGAAAGACGGGCUAAUACCGCAUAACCUCUACGGAGCAAAGGGGGCUAGCAAUAGCUUUCGCUUUAAGAUGAGCCUACGUCGGAUUAGCUAGUUGGUAGGGUAAAGGCCUACCAAGGCGACGAUCCGUAGCUGGUCUGAGAGGACGAUCAGCCACACUGGAACUGAGACACGGUCCAGACUCCUACGGGAGGCAGCAGUGGGGAAUAUUGGACAAUGGGGGAAACCCCGAUCCAGCAAUGCCGCGUGUGCGAUGAAGGCCUGCGGGUUGUAAAGCACUUUCGGUGGGGAAGAAAUACUCAAAUAUAAUACAUUUGAGAGCUGACAUUACCCAAAGAAGAAGCACCGGCAAACUCUGUGCCAGCAGCCGCAGUAA